CUCUGAGAGAGCCUGUCUUUGAAGGUGUAACGAUAGAUGGGGCUCCAUCUAACAAGCUGAGUGAGAAACCAGUAGAAACUGAACAACAACUCAGAUAGAAACAAUCCCAUCCAAGCCCAUCUUCUUAGCACUUGUGCGCCUGCAGGUGGGAAGUGAACCACCCUGUAAACCCAGAUAAAAAUAAUACCCACAAACACUGAUGCUGCAUAACAUCUGAAUAGGAUACGACCCUUUGCAACCUUGGUUUCAAAGAGAGGAAGAUAGCCAUCUCUGCCCAUUUCUACACUGCCUCUCUCUCCAUUCAUUUCCAUGACCUUAUAGAGUCACAUGACCCUUUUGUUUUUUUGUCAGUGGAUUAUUGGAAGGAUACCAUUGGAGGCCUUUUUUCGAAAUUUACAGUCCUUGUAUGCUAUACUUUGUCACCAUAUGAGUGGGUAACAUUGGGUGGCCAGGCCAAAGGAUGGUUUUAUUUUUUAAAUAUUUUGAACACAUUUAAAAAUCAAAGAAUUUUGAUCUAUGGAAAUUAAAGACUAGUUGGUGUUAGUCUUUGAACGAAAGAGUACUUUGCAGUAUCAUAUUAAAUUCGUUUGUCUAAUAUCAUUUCAAAUCAUGUAAGGUAACAUGGCGACUAAGUUGUUAUUAAAAAAUGCUUUCACGCAUAUGAAAAAUAUAACUACACCAACACAAAAACAAUAUAAAAAAGAUUAGGGUGAAGUAUAUAUGAUUAAAGAUAUAAUGUACUAAAGCAGUAAGAAUGUUGUCAUAUUCCUAGUAAGGACAAGUUGGUCUUGAAAUUUUGUCUCAAAAAAUCUCCUGUCACCUUCAAAACGUAAGAGAAGGUCCACAAUCUCUUUCAAAGUUAUAAAUGACUUUUUUAAAACACAACUAAUAUAGAUCAAGAUAAGAAUAAAUGUCUCUUUCACAAUGCUAUUGGAAAGUAUUUUUAAUAUCAAAUUAAAAAAAAAUAUUUUUUUAAAAUUGAAUAUUUGGUAAAUUUUUAAAAAUAUUUUUAAAAAUUUUAAAAAUCAUUUGAAAUAUUUUUUAAAGAAAUAUAUGAUAGAUGGUUCUUUUAAAAAAAAAUAUUUUUUAAUGAAAUUUUAAAAAAUAUUUUUAAGAAGUUGAAAAAUUUCUUAUAGUGCUUUUUGAAGAAGUAUUUGAUAGAAAUGGAAAUAUAGAGAAAUAGUAAUAUAGUAUGAUGUAAUAAGAUGUAAAAAAAAAGAGUAAAGUAAUUGGACAAUGUAAAGUCUUACAUAUUCAAAAGUGAGAUUUUGUGGAAAAAUAUUAGUUUGCAAUAGAAAAUAAGGGCAAAAAUAAUGAUGUUGAAUGUGUAAUGUACAGUGAAUAAGGAAUGAUAGAUAAAUAGAAUUUGUGAAAAAAAAAAAAAGAACAAGAAAAAAAUUAAGGAUAUGUGGUUGGACAAGGAAUUGAUGUUUUGAUGUUGUAUGGUAAAGGAGGAAAACAAAAUUUAAAUAUAGAAUUAGUUAUUAUAAGGAUUAAUUAAUAAUAAGGGAUAUAACUUUUUUAUUUUUUAUUUUAUUUUAUGAUACAUCAUAAUGUCAGAUUUGUAUUAAUGAGAUUUAUUUUAUUUCAUUUUAUUUGUCGAAACGAAUUUAUAAUUUAAUCAAUUUAUGCUAUAAUAUUUAGUCCUUAGCAAGUUGUAGAAGAAUUGAAAAAGGUGAACGGGAGUGGUCAUUAACCUAAUGAUAUCAGUUGAUUGACUUAAUUCUCUUUUAAUUUGAAAACAUGUUUAUCAAAAUCCCAUUAGUUUAUGCAAAUUUGUUUAUAUUUUGUAAGCUGAAAUUUCCAUGACAUUUUAUGUCCUUUUUUUUCUUUGUUUUUACCAAAAAGCUCAUCACCUCUACUUUUGAAAUGCCCCUUCUGACUGCGUUUUGGUCCCUUGAAUGUGGAUAAUAAGUCACAUCAUGAGUAGGAAGGCAUCUCAUUAGUUUGUCAUUAGCAACUUCGUGAGUAGGAAGGAAUCUCAUUAGUUUAUCAUUUGUUUAGGGAUGAUAAUAGGAUUGGUUUUUUUAGUACCCGUUCAGCAUAUAAUGGGGUGAGGUUUAAUUUUAAUAAAUGAAUUUGGGACGAGUUUAAGAAUUUUUUUUUUAAAACUCGCGACAGGUUCAGGUAUUGCCUCGUAUCGCCAAAUUAUAUAUAAAAUUAAUUAAUUUAAAAUUUAAAAUUAAUUUAAUUUAAUUUUUAUUUUACUAUUUUUAAUAUAUAAAUAAUAAUUCUUGGGGAGGACUUUAAUAGGCUUAAAUACUAAAACUGCCCUUCAACUAAAACUUUCAACUAAAACUUUUAAAAUUCAAAGUAUUUAAAGCACUUCACUUGAUUUGUUAGGACAUUUAUGGUGCAUAGGUUCCACAUUUAUUGUAAUUAUUGAUAUUCAAAUUUUAAAUCAAAAUUUUGGUUUAACCCUUACAAUUAUAUAUAAUUUGUUAUUUAAAUUUACCGUUUAAAACAAAAAUAUUUUCAAAAUUGUUUUUUUUUUACAUUUUUUUUUAUUUUUAUUCUAUUUUUUAAUUUUAAUUAAGAAAAAAGAUAAGUUUUAUAAUUAUAUAGUAAAAAUGAUGAUUUUUUCAUAUAUAUAUAUAUAUAUAUAUAUAUAUAUAGAUUAAUUUUAAAUUGAUAAAUUAUGUUUUUGUAUUAAAUUCAAAGAAGAUAAAAUGUUUAAUUUUUCAUUCAUAUUAUUUAAAAAUAAUAAGAAAAUGAUGGAGAAUGUUUAAUCAUUUUUUAUUUUUAUAAUAAAAUAAUUAAAAAAAAAUUGUAGUGUUUUUUUUCCUUUGCAUAGUGUUUUUUUUUUUCCUCAAUGCAUCAAGUGGAUGAUGUUAAUAUAUUUGAUAUGUUGAAUAUUAAUAAGGUAUAAAAAGUGAUUUUAAAGAUUAUUACUUUUAUUAUAAAAUACAAGUACAACAAAAAUAUGUUAUAAUUACAAUAUAAAUACACUUGCAUUACAAUAAACCUAAUUAGGAAAUUUUUGAAAUUUUUUAUAAAAAUGAUAAUUUUGUAUAAUCAUACCAUAUUUCACAAAAUACUUAUAUCAUAAAUAAUUUCUAAAACCAAAUGAAAUACUAAUUUGAAUUCACUCGUAGUUUUUUUUUUAAUAAACAAAAAUUAUUAAAUAAUUUUAAUGCACUAUAUGAAUGUUGUUAAUAUAUUGAUACGAUGUGUUAAUACCAAUAGGGUAUGAAAAAAUAGUUUUAGAAUUAUUAUUUUUGUAAUGAAAUAUAGUUAGGACAUAAAUGCAUUAUAUUUACAAUAUAAAUACACUAUCAUUACAAUAUAUUACAACAUAAUUUAAUUUAUUUUUGUUUAAUUUUUUCACAUGUUAUAUUACCCAAUGUAUAAUUGUGAGUUAUUAUAUUUAAUAGUUGUGUGUUAGUCAAUUGAAUAUUUAUAUAUUAUUCAAUUGACAAGUGCUUGUAAAAAAUAAUUAUUCAUUCUAUUAUGGUAACAAAGUUUUUAAUUGUAUGUUCUAUUAAUAAAAUGAUAUAAUAAUAUUAGGAUAUGAUUUUUAUUUAUGAGAUAUUGAAAAUUAUUUUUUUUACAAGAUUCUUUAAAAAAUCUCAAUUUUUUUUGAAAAAAAGAAAAGAAAAAAUAACAAAUUUUAAACAGUCACUUGAUUGUUUAAAAGUGAACAACAAUUUUUUCAAGUCUGAAAAAUGUACUGUAUUUAUCAUCAUGUAUGAGCCUCAUAUCAUAUAAUCUCAAAUUUAUUUAUAAAUAAUAUAGAAAACAUAUUCAAGGAUAAAAUUCUCUUCUAACAAUCUUUAAGAUAAGUGAGCUUUUCUAGUAAUUAUUCUUUCUAACCUACCUAUCGGGUAACUCUCCCAAAAUUAUACACACAAAUUCCUUGACGUGAAAUAGUAGGCAUUUGAUGGCGACAUUUGACAAUUCCCUUUCCACUGCCAAACUUCGGCAGCAGUGUUUCCGAAACGUGCAUGGUGGUGGUAGACGAGUGCUUGAUGGAGGAAAUUUGGAGGUUCCUGCCUUCCUGGUUGUGGAGCUCAUUUCAGCAUAUGGGCUUGCACCGAUUUCUAGAUCAAGGUCUCAUCUGACGGUCAAGUUCAAACGCAGAAAAGAAAAGAACAUAGAAGAGAGGUUUUGGGAGGGUUAGUCACCUCUUUUCCAAUAAAAGAUCUAAAGCCACCAAUAAAAAAACCAAGCCACUUCAUAAUUUCGAACAUAAAAGAUUGCCUUCUUACUUAAGAUUUUGAAAAUUGAGGUUACCGUAUGAUUGUACAUGAAAAAAAAAACGAUGUUCAUAAAUAUCCUUUGUAACAAAAUAAUAAGUGAUUUAUUUUUUAAAAAUAAAUAAAUAAAUAAAUAAUCAAUUUUAUAAAUAAAUAUCUAAUUUCCUAUAAAUCAAAAGUUCUGCAAAGCGUUACAUAAUAUACAUAGAGAGGUGUGGUGAAGAGACGCUUGGCUUACUGAUACAAAGCUAUUGAGCAGGCCAAUAGUACUAAAGCAACCGAUUUGUACGUGACAGAGGUUGGCAUGGCGCCCUUGUCCUUGCGGAAGAAAAGCCCUUGGUAUACAGGCAGGUUGAUGAGAACAACGACCCCACAUAAGAUACCCUGCAGUGCUAAUGACUCCAAAGCUUUGAUUUGAAUACCCACAAACACCCUCUUUACACAACAAACAAAACUGAACAGAUUGAGCAUUGCUAGUGUGGCUAUAAUGGUAAGCAUUGGUGAAGGAGAGCCGAACUCCAUAACUUCUUGCUCGUAUCUUCGAGACACAUCUUCAUCAGACACCUUUGCAGUGACUGCAAAAGUGGUCUCAGCAAACCCUAGUAGCUUCAAGAUUGUAUCAAGGAGGACAAAGAAAUAGGAAGUUGUCCUUCUCAACGCCCAUAUCCUCUGUUCAUUCCACCAACCUUGGGUUGUGCCACCAAACCAAAGAACUCGCCUAAGCUGUAUGCAUACUUGGCAAUGAUGACAUAGGCAAAGGGCAGUGCCCACAGGCUUGAUAUAUGAAAGGGGUAUAAUUCUUAAUAAUAAUGAUGAGUUUGGGAUUAAUUUGCUUUAGUAAUGUUAAAUUCAUUCCUCUGGAAACAAGGAGAUGCCUCCAAGUAGACAGAGGGAUGGGACAGCGACAUAGUAUAGUGUAGGCAAGCAGUUUGGAGCCCAGAGCAGCUAAGGACAAUAUGAGAAUUGAAGCUCUAGAGGAAUCCUUUUAUGCUCAUAUAGGAGGGGGCAGUACCUUGAGAGAAAGAUCUGGAAGUUGCCUUCAGACCAUCUCUUGUGUUGUAUUAAUGACUGCAAUAGUGUUGUAGGGGCAACACCUACAAAGCCUUUCCUUUCUGGGCUGAAACUGAUGGAUUUCCAACCUCUGCAUUGUAUUGAUAAUCCUGUAAUUAUAUCUUCCACUAAACAACCAUACUUCAAACCCAUCUGCAAGUCAACAUAAGCAUGAAGUUUCUUACUCGAAGAAAGAAGAAAAAGGAAAAAAAUAAAACGAUGGCAUUGAUGAGACAAAUAGAGGAACCUCUUUUCCCCAUUGGGUGUUCUCUACAUAGCUGUUGAAUUUUUAAUUUUGCCUUAGUAUCGGCUGGAAUUUGAAUUUUAAAGUUAGAUAUUGCAACUGGAGUCUUGCACAAAAUUUGCAACAUCCAAAUAUUUUCUUGUUUUUAUUUGAUCAAGAUUUGGUUUCUAUUUUAUAGGAAGUAGUUGUUCAUCAUCUAGUAGUUUGAUUUUCUACUAUUCUAAUGUCAUUUCAGUUACAAGCUCAUAUAUAAAUUCAACACUCUUCAUCAAUAAAAAGUGUGUUCCAAUAGCCUAAAAAUAAAUAUCCUGCAUAAGUGUUUAAUCUAAGAUCAUCAUUUUGGUAUCAGAGCAGAAAUUAUCUUGAGGGACCAGUGAGUUGAGUGAGCUAGAAGUUAUCUUGAGGGGUUAGUGAGUUGAGUGAGCCUGAAUACCUUGAGAGUGCCUAAACUCCUAUAGACCCUUGAGGUGAGUGAACCCAAAACACCAUGAGUGAACCCAAACACCUUCUAAAAUCAUCUAGCAAUAGAGAAGUCAAGUCUCACAACUGCACCAUCAAUUCUUGAUGGAGACAAUUAUGAAACUUGGGAUGUUAGAAUGAUAGUUCAUUUACAAGCACUUGAUGUUUGGGAAGCAGUGAAAGAAAAUUAUGAAGUUCCUCUCUUGGGAGCCAAUCCAACUGUGGCUCAAAUGAAGUUGCAUAAAGAAAGAAAGACAAGAAAGACUAAAGCGAAGGCUUGCUUGUUUGCUGCAGUUUCAUCAUCAAUUCUCAUCAAAAUCAUGAAAAUUGAUUUAGUUGCAAAAAUUUGGGAGUAUCUCAAGGAGGAAUACAAAGGAGAUGAAAUAAUCAAUAACAUGUAGGUGAUGAACUUGAUUCGAGAAUUUGAAAUAAAGAAAAUGAGGGAGUCUGAUGCUGUUAAAGACUAUGCUACACAACUUCUUUCACUAGCAUACAAAGUUAGGUUGCUUGGAAAAGAAUUUUCCAAUGAGAAGAUUGUUCAAAAGAUAUUGGUUACACUUCCUGAGAAAUAUGAAGUUACAAUUUCCUCUUUGGAGAAUUCAAAGUGAUAAAACAAAGGUUAUGAAUAAUUAAGGAAAAUACCCAAAAUGGGGGGUGAAUUGUAUUUUUUCAAAAUCUUUUUCCACACAAUAAUAUAUGCACAAAAUAAAUAAAGGAAAGAGAUAAAGUUAGAGAAUUCAAAUUCGGGUUUAUAGUGAUUCGGCACUCCUUUGCCUACGUCCACUCUCCUCAAUCUCCUAACCGAGUGAGGGGUCCCUAACUUGAAGCUUCAAUCAAGCUUUCAAUCUUCUUACACUUGGAUUCCGGCUCCAAUGGGCUCUUACACAAUCUCUUCAAGAUUUGAACCACUUAAAGACUUUCACACUCAGUUUACACAAAGAUGAAACUCUCAACCUAGCUUAAGGAUGACUCAAGUACAAGAGAAAGCUAGGAUGAUUUACAAGAGUGCACUAAGAAUAUGCAAGUGAUGGUUUAAUGCACUAAGAAAGAAAUGAGAGCUUUUUGAUCAAGAAUAGGUAGGUAGACAAUUGAUUGUAAAGGUUCUCUUAGUCAUAAAUGAAGUGGAGCUCUCAAUUUAUAGGUUUCUAAGCUCGGAAGACAAAAACAACAGAAAGUAGCCUCGACCGGACGAGCAAAGGGUCGACCGGUUCACUAGCCGUUGGAGCAUUUAAUGCAUGAUAGGUUACCGUUGCCUCAACCGGACCUCGACCGGUCCUCGACCGGUAAAGGAAUCACCUCGACCGGGAAGAGAAGGCUACUGGGAGAGAGAGAAGGUUUUUAACCUUCCUCGACCGGUCCUCGACUGGACGACCUAAAUCGAUCGACUGGUUCCUUAACCGGUUGACCGAUUGGCCUUAGCCUCGACCGGUUGAGCCUUUUGGCUCCGAAAACCUAUCAUUUUUUAUUUCUUUCUUUUCCAAUACUUAAGCAAGGUCUUUAGGUCAGUUAAUAUGCCAAUUUUGAAUCAAUUUGCCUAAGGUAUAUUUAAUAAAACUCGGGUUUUAAAGAAAAUCAAGUUUUAAAGAAUAAACCGAGUUUUCUAAGAUGCAUGAAAAGGUAUGAACAUCCUAAGUGCACUCAUGCUAUCAUCUUACAUUCAUUUCCUAUGAUCUCAAGUCUUCUAAGCGUCUCGAUCUUGUAUCCAUUUGGUCCUUUGAUGAAUUUUCGAGUUUACACCUGAGAUUCUUAAACAUUAAACCAAUUAGUUAUUUAACCAUGGUUUGUUAUCAUCAAAACCCGAUUAGGAGAACCCUUGGGCUAACACAAAGGAUCUGUCAACUAUUAGCUUGAUAGAAUUAUUACAUUCAUUGGAGGCUGUAGAACAAAUAAGACUCAUGAGACAAGGAGAUACUAUAGAAGGAGCAUUUCAAGCAAGAAUGCAAAAAAAUGCAGGCCAUAAAAAUGGAAAGAAGAACAAGAAGAAGAAGAACAAGCCAAACAACAACAACCAGAAAAAUGGAGUUUUUCCACCUUGUCCUCAUUGCAAGAAAACAAAUCAUUCUCCACAAAAAUGUUGGUGGAGACCAGAUGUGAAAUGCAACAAGUGUGGUAAACAAUGGCGUGUGGAGAGGAUUUUCAAAAAUCAACAACAGGAAGAAACUAGUGCAACAGUUGACCAAUGCCUAGAGGAGCAAUUGUUUGCGAAAACGUGUUUUGCUAAUAAAAGCACCUCUAAAAGCUGGCUUAUGGAUAGUGGUUGUACAAACCACAUGACUAAUGAUCAAGAUCUUUUAAGAAAACUUGUUAGAACAACUAUUUCCAAAGUCAGAAUUGGAAAUGGUGAGUAUAUUCCAGUGAAGGGCAAAUGAAUGGUUGCUAUCGAAAGCCAAAUAAGUUUGAAACUCAUUUAUGAUGUUUUGUUUGUGCCUGACAUUGACCAAAACUUACUCAGUGUUGGACAACUUGUUGAGAAAGGAUUUAAAGUUUAUUUUGAAGAUAGGAAUUGCAUUAUCAAGGAUGCUGAAGGCAAAAAGGUGUUUAACAUAAAAAUGAAGGGCAAGAGCUUUGCCUUGAAUUUACUGAAAGAUGAGCAUGCUGCUUGUUUUGCAACAAGAUAGUACAACAAUGCUUUGGCACAGAAGGCUCGGGCACUUUCAUCAUGAUGUUGUGCUCUACAUGAAGAAAAAUCAAAUAGCUGAAGGACUUCUUGACUUAGAAAAAGAUCUUCCUAUAUGUGCUAUUUGUCAAUUUGGGAAGCAAACUAAACUUCAUUUUCCAAAGAAAACAUCCUAGAGAGCAACCCAAAACUACAACUGGUGCAUACUGAUGUUGGUGGACCUCAAAAGACGUCAUUCUUGAAAGGAAGCAUUGUUCACCAACUCACUGCACCAUAUAAUCCAUAACAAAAAGGAGUCGUGGAGAGGAAAAAUAGAACGAUUUUGGAGAUGACAAUAUGCCUUGUGCAUGAAAAAAAUCUGCCUAAAAUUUUUUGUGCUGAAGUUGCAAGUACAACAAUAUAUUUGUUGAACAAAUUGCCAACAAAAACGUUAAAAAAGCAGACCCCUUUCAAAGCUUGGUUUGGUUAUCAACCUAAAGUAAUGAAAUUGAAAACAUUCGGUUACUUAUGUUUCUCUUUUGUUCCUAAGGUGAAAAGGGACAAGCUAGAUAAACAAUUAGAGAUGAGAAUUUUCGUCGGAUACAGUGACACUUCAAAGGCUUAUAGAAUUUACUUGCCACAAACUAAUAAAAUUGUGGUGAGUAGAGAUGUCAAGUUUUUGAAAACAAAGAAAUGAAGUUGGGAUGAAAAGAUGCAGCAGUAUAAUGAUGAAAAUGUUGACGAGCUUCCAGUUAGAGGUACCCGAAAACUCUUUGAUAUUUACUGUUAUGUUGCUACUACUGCUGCUGUAAAUCAAGUUUUAUGACUUAGGAAGUUGCUGACAGAUUUGGACAUGAAGCAAGAAAUGAGUACUCAAGUGUUUGUUGACAACCAAGCUGCUAUAUCUAUUGCCAAUGACCCAGUUUUUCAUGGCAAAACAAAGUACUUCAAGAUUAAACUAUACUUUCUAAGAGAGGUGCAGAAGGAAGGAGAUGCACAUAUAGUUUAUUGCAACACGGAGAGUCAAAAUGUUGAUAUAUUCACUAAACCUCUACCUAAAGCAAGGUUUGAGUUUCUACGUGGAAGACUUGGAGUUUGCAUCUACUAAGUCAAGGAGGAGUGUUGAAUUUUGAAUUUUGCCUUAGUAUCUGCUAGAAUUUGAAUUUUGAAGUUAAAUAUUGCAGCUGGAGUCUUGCACAAAAUCUGUAACAUCCAAAUAUUUUCAUGUUUUUAUUUGGUCAAGAUUUGGUUUCUAUUUUAUAGGAAGUAGUUGUUCAUCAUCUAGUAGCUUGAUUUUAUGCUAUUCUAAUGUCAUUUAAGUUACAAGCUCAUGUAUAAAUUCAACACUCUUCAUCAAUAAAAAGUGUGUUCCAACAGCCCAAAAAUAUAUAUUCUUCAUAAGUGUUUAAUCUAAGAUCAUCAUUUUGGUAUCAGAAAGUUAUCUUGAGGGGCCAGUGAGUUGAGUGAGCCUGGAUACCUUGAGAGUGCCUAAACACAUAAAGAAUAGCUACAACUUGCAAGGACCUUGCACAAUGCUUCUAAUACUCUUGCACUUUCUCUUGCCGUUCUGUCGGUCUCUCUCUUCCAUUCUCUCUCACAUUCCUCGCUAUAUUUCAUUCCACACAGUGCCUUUCUCCUGUGAAAGCACCCACUACCGAUAUAGCAAGGCCCUCCAUUAGCAUCAAGUCCUGGAAGGUCCACCUUUUUCACCAAUUUGUCAUCCGACAAUAAAAUUCAUUAGGAAUCCUUGAUCUCUCUAGCCAAAAUAGUAAUGAAUACAUAGUUCUUUUCCAAUUUUGCCUACCUCAUUAAGCACCCUAAAGCAGGUGCCAUAUAAGUCAUUCGUAGUGAGAUUAUUAUAGCUCGGUGGAAACUGGACAUAAGCAAUUUCAUGGCCCUUCUCUUCAUCCAUGAAAAAGCACAAAGCAUCUCUCACCGAUUCUGAAUUGUUGGAGUACAUGUCACAGUCCACAUUAAGAAUGAUCGAACCGUUGCUUAUCUUUGAUGACACCCUUAUCUGUUCACCCAAAUCAUAAUCACCCGUAUAAAAAAUGAUGCAAUAGGCCGAGGUGCAUUGGAGGAAAGCUCAACUGAUUUUAUGGAUUUAGGAUUCAUGUGUGUAGAGGCUAGAGCAAAGUUUUACCAGUGAAUUCAUAGCUCCAGCUUUAAAAUUGUGGUGGUAUUGGGGUCUCUUCUCCCGGGACAAGUAUACUAGAGUUGGCAAGGAUUGGCCUUCAACAUCCACGGCCUUGUCCUCUCUCCCAUCAAUUAGUAUCUGUUAUUCUAUAUUAUAUUAGUGAAAGAUGAAGCUCACAAAUAUAAAUGUUUUGAUUUUCAAGCACCUGAACAAUGGACUGAUGAUUAUACUGUGUAGAGACAUGGUUCCACUCUUGAAAUCCUUUGUGCUCCUUUCUUAUUUCUUCUGAAACCCUGCCCAGUCUAGUGGUGGUUUCAAUUCUAUUCUUCAUGUCUUCAUACGAUUUCUACAAUGAGAAAACAGAGUAAGUGUUACACAGGAGCCAGAAAACCGAUAAAAGGCCUUAGUUAUAAUGGUUAAAGAUGAAAAAUUCGAGCACUGUGAGUGUAAAACUUACUGCCAAAGCUACAAAGCCUAAUGAAAAAUAAUUUGGUUAUAAUUCGUUCAUGAUAGUAGUAAUAGUGACAGACUUAAUAGAAUUCAUUUUAAGAUCAGAAUCCGAGUAUAAUCCUAAAAAAAAGGUUCAAACCUAAUCUGUGUUGUCUUUGAAUUCCAACAUGACUGUUCAUUACUUGUAAUAUAAUUUUUGAAGGAAAAAUAUCUGGAAGAAUAUGGGAAGCAAUGAUCUAAGCAUAGUGGGACCAGUAUAUGGAAGAGGGCUGAGGAUGUGACCUCUUUAUUGUCUGUAGUAGAAAACAAAUUCAAUGACAGGACAGCUUUCUUCUUCUUGCUUCUUUCUUAGGUAAUUUGAAAAGAACAAUUUGUGUACAUUGCAUCUGAGUCUUAUUCCAACUUCAUUCAAUUUUUUUUAUAACAAAUACUAGAAAGGUGGACCACCAACUCAGAGCAGCCAUGGAAGCAUAUCUUUAGGCAACAUUAAAAAACUAAAAAAAUUGAAAGCGAAAAGAAUGGCAAGGAAGAAGAACCAUUACUGGGGAGGUUGAAUGAGCAACGGAAAUAGUGCAAAUAUGUUAAAAAUAAAUGUUCAAAUGGAAAUUAAUCUUAAACUAAAAUUCAUAGAAUCCAAAGAAAAAGAAACAGAGAAAGUUAUACCUUGAUGGAGAACCACUCUUGAGCCAUGAGCGGAUUACUAUCAUGGGGUUUGGGAUUUGUGGAAAAAUAAGCAGCAGGUGACCUUGGUUCUAUACUGAACUUCCUGCAAAAUGGUAGCCAAUGUUUUGAGAAGCAAGAGGCCUCUAACAAGGCAUAGAAGGUCAGGUCUGAGCCUCCAUCAUCAGAGAGAUAGGCGCAUAAUUUUUGUGAUGGAUAAUUAUAAGCUAUUGAUUUUCAUGCAACGAUUCUUAGUGAAAAAUUAGAAAAAAAUGAAAAGAAAACACACAGAUUUAACAUGGUUCAGAAGAUUGCCUAUGUCCAUUAGAACACGGAAGAAGAUUUUCACUAUAUUUCAAUUAGGAUUACAUAAACGGUAUUUAUAUUAACUCUCAGGUAUUGAAAUUCUAAAAUACCUUUGAACUGUACUGCGAAAUAUAAGCUUAAAUGACAAAUGUUGUGGCUUUGCUCCAGUAUUGACCCAUUUUUUUCCAUGUCUUUCACUCAAUAUAAGCCACAUAUUACAACAUAAGCCACGAAUGAUAAAACAGUGUUGAUGACCAUGAUGGGCGGCUCUAUUAUUGGUACUGCAGUGCACACAAAUAUGUCUAUGCCUGGAAAAGCGUUCUCGUAUCUGCAAUUAAGUUUCACAAUAGGCAAUUAGCAAGUGAAGAUGGAGGCAAGAAAGGGGAGAGGAAGAGAGAAAAGAUCACCUCUGAGAGAGCCUGUCUUUGAAGGUGUAGCGAUAGCUGGGGUUCCAUCUAACGAAUUGAGUGAUGAACCAGUACAAACUGAACCACAAUUCAGCUAAAGAUAAACCCAUCCAAGCCCAUCUUCUCAGCAGUUGUCCAUCUGCAGCUGGGAAGUGAACCACCCUAUAAAUACAGAUAAAAGUGAUGCCCACCAAAACUGAUGCUGCAUAGCAUCUGAAUAGUAUACGACCCCUAGCAGCUUUUGUUUCAAAGAGAGGAAGAUAGCCAUCUUUGCCCGUUGCUUCUGUCUUUCUCUGACCACCAUGUGAUCAGCUUAUAUAAAUAGUUUGGUUUGCAUUUUUCAUUUUAUUGUUGUUAUGGUCAAAACUUUACUUUGCCGCUUUAGAUGGCAUCAAAGAAAGGAGUAAAAACAAAUUAUCCCAUCUAAGCCCACCCAUCUCUAAAUUGCUUUCCUCUUGUAAAUGAACCGAGCACAAAUAGAACAAGUACCCAUAAAGGUUGAAACUGGAUAAACUGUGAAACAAGAUUUGACCCUUUUCAGCCCUUGUUUCAAACAGAGGAUGAGAAACAUCUCUCUAGCUCUCAUGCUCUCAUACUCUCCCUCUGCUGUCUCAUGCAUUACCUUAUAUAACCUGCCCACUGUUUCCUUUAAAUUCAAGAAUGUUUCUAACAAGGAGACAAGGGAUAUUCAAGGUUUAAGCAUCCUCUGCAUGCACAAACAGAGUUCAUGUGCUCAUUCUUUUUUCCUUAAAAAUUUGCAAUUUCUGGACUCUCUGGUGACACCCUGAUGAACAGGGGUUUAAGCAAGAGGCUUGUAACAAAUUAAAAUGGGUACAUGAUUAAUAUCGAAGCCUUUAUACCUGGAGAAACAUAUACUAUCCAUUAUUGAAAAUUGAAACUGCAUCAGUUAUACAUAUAUAACAGUUCUUCAGAGCCUUAUAUAAUACAUAUGAAGUUGUGGCAAAGAGACUUUGCUUACUGAUACAGUAAACUAAUACAAGGCUAAUGAACAGGCCAACAGCGCUAAAGAAACUGAUUUGUAUGUGACUGAUGUUGGCAUGGUGCCCUUGUCCUUGCGGAAAAAGAGCCCUUGGUAUACGGGCAGGUUGAUGAGAACAAGAACCCCACAUAAGAUAAUCUGCAGAGCCAAUGACUCCAAAGGUUUAAUUUGAAUAUCCACAACCACCCUCUUUACACCACAAACAAAACUGAACAGAUUGAGCAAUGCAAGUGUAGCUGAAAUGGUAAACAUUGGUGAAGGAGAACCAAACUCCAUGAUUUCUUGUUCGUAUCUUUGAGACACAUCUUCAUCACACACCUUUGCAGUGACAGCAAAAGUGGUCUCAGCAAAGCCUAGUAUCCUCAAGAUUGUAUCAAGGAAGCCAAAGAAGUAGGAAGUUGUCCUUCUGAACAUCCAUAUUCUUUGAUCAUUCCACCAACCUUGGAUUGUGCCACCAUACCAAUGAAACUCACCUAAGCUGUAUGCAUGCUUGGCAAUAAUGACAUAGGCAAAGGGAAGGACCCACAGGCUCCAUAUCUGAAAAAGUAACAUAAUUCAUUGCCGGGAACCAAAUAGCAUUUCAAUUGUUUGGAUACAGCAAAGUGUCAUGUCAGGACUUCUCUUUCUAAAAUGGAAGAAGAAAAGCACAUAGUUCUUUUCGAAGUAUUUAGGAAAAUCUAUCAUGUUGAGAAACUAAAUUUAUUGUGAAUAAUUUGAGAAAUUUUGCUAGCUAGUGAUCAUACAUUAUAGAACAAUGUUGCCUGUGCUUGACAGUAAGUAUUUUGCAGUUCUGUACUACUCAAAAGUUUUUAAGUUUGGAAGUAUUUGUUUAAAUGAUGUAAUGUUCAUACCUCUGGAAACAAGGAGAUGCCUCCAAGGAGACAAAGGGAUGGGACAGCAACAUAGCAUAGCAUAGCCAAGGAGUAUGCAGCCCACAGAUUAUAGAUAGAGUAUGCGAGUUGAAGUUUCAGAGGAACCUUUUUGUGUCCAUAUAUAAAUGGACAGUGUCUCGAGAGAAACAUCUGAAGGUGGCCUUCAGACCAUCUCUUGUGUUGUACUAGUGACUGCAACAGUGUUGUGGGCGCAACACCCAAGAAGCCCUUCCUUUCUGGAUUGACAUAGACGGAUCUCCAACCUCUACAUUGUAUUGAGAAUCCUGUGAUAAUGUCUUCCACUGCACAAUCAUACUUCACGCCCAUCUGCAAUUCAACAUAAAGAUUAAGUUUUUUAGCUUAAGAAAAGGAAAAAGCUUUACAGGCAGGAAAUUCAUGAGACAGAGACAGAAGAACCUCCUUUCCCCAUUGACUGUUCUCUUCGUAGGUACAACUUGCAAGGACCUUACAUGAUUCUUCUAGUACACUAGCACUUUCUCUUCCUCUUCUGCCAUUCUCUUUCUUCCAUUCUCUCUCACAUUCCUUGUCAUAUUUCAUUCCACACAGUGCCACUCUCCUAUGAAAGCACCCGGUACCAAUAUAGAAAGGUCCUCCAUUAGAAUCAAGGCCUGGAAAUUCCACCUUUUUCACCAGUCAUGCCAAAAGCCAACAAUAAAAUCAUUAGGAAGUCAUUGCUAAUGCCUACCUCCUCUAGGCCAAGCAGUAAGGAAUAAAUAAUUCUUUCAAAUCUUGCCUACCUCAAUAAUCACCCUAAAGCAGUUGCCAUAUAAGUCAUUCCUAGUAAGAUUAUCGUAGCACUGUGGAAACUGGACAUAAGCAAUUUCAUGGCCCUUCUCUUCAUCCAUGAAAAAACACACAGCAUCUCUCACUGAUUCUGAAUUGUUGGAGUACAUGUCACAGUCCACAUUAAGAAUAAUCGAGCCAUUGCUUAUCUUUGAUGACACCCUUAUCUGUUCAACAAAAUCAGAGUCACCUACAUUAAGAUAAUUGGCAGUGGUUCACUGUAGGAAAGCUGAAGUCAUUUAAGCUUACGAGUGCAUUCAUGGCUCCAGCUUUAAAAUUGUGAUGGUAUUGGGGUCUCUUCUCACGGGACAAGUAUACUAGAGUUGGCAAAGGUUGUCCUUCAGAGUCCACAGCCUUGGGGUCUCUCCCAUCAAUCACUAUCUGUUACUUUAUAUAAUAUUAGCAAAAGAUGAAUCAAAGAUAAAUAUGAAGAAAAACUUAGUAGAGAUGUAUUGAUUUUCAAGAAGAAAUCUCUUGGAAUAGGAAAAAAUACACAAAUUAGUAGAAUAACUACUUGAACAAUGGACUGAUGGUCAUGCCGUGUUGAAGCACUGUUCCACUCCAGAAAUCCCUUGUCCUCCUUUCUUAUUUCUUCUGAAAUCCUGCCCAGUCUAGUGGUGGUUUCAAUUCUAUUCUUCAUUUCUUCAUACAAUUCCUAUAAUGAGAAAAGGAAUAGAAGUUCUAAAUCAUAUGUAGAAAAACUCUAAAAAGAUUUGCCUAGUAUGGGAGUCACACAUACUCAUUAUAACAUGGAAAGAGAGAAAAAUUCAAGUACCAUACCACAUACCAUUACACACUCUGAUGAACAUUUUCUUUGUUCUGCUAAGAGUUUAAGUUCCUAGGAUUUGGACUUUUAUUUAUUUAUUUGUGGGCAUACAUGUGGGCUCAACAAGUCGGGAAAAUAAAUAUGUAUUGAGGUUUGAAUACAUGAUCUCCCACCCAGCCUGCUUUAUCAAUUUUACUGAAAACUUAACCUUGCAGAAUUUGCACCCAUAAUAUAUAUUAUACUCUUCCACACUCAUCAUUAUUUAUGAUCUCUAAAUUGUUUGCAGGAUUUGGAUCUAUAAUAUAUGUUAUACUCUUCCACUCUUCAUCAAUUAUGAUCUAUAAAUUGCUUGUACGAUUUGGACCCAUAAUAUGUCUUGUACUCUUAUCAUAUUCCUCAAUUCUGAUCCCUCAUAGAAUUUAUUUGAGUGGUCAGAAUGCAAGUCAAAUCUUCUAAAAAAUUUAAAAAUCUUAGCAUUCUAUAUAUGAUCCUCCCAAAAAAAAUAAAAAUGAAUAAAUAAAUAAAUAAAAACACUUCUGAAGAACACUACCGAGCACACACUCAUUCAUUCAUUAUCUUCCCUGCAAAACUUUCCGGAAAAGAUGCAACAAUUUUGAAGUGGGUCAGACUGAUGAUGCACAGCGGUCGACAUUAAUGUUGGGGAUCUUUCGUAUCUUAAAUAGUUACUCAUUAAAAGGACAGCAUCCUUCUUACUGUCUGAGGCUCUCUUCCAGCUUCGAUUAUUUCCUUUAACAAUUGGGUCUUUGGAAUGAAGUCAGAGCAGCCUUGGAAGUAGUUGCAGCUUGCAACUAUAUGUUGACAAUUGAUCUUAAACCAAAAUUCAUAGAAUCCAAGGAGAAAAAAACAGAGAAAGUUGUACCUUGAUGGACAACCACUCCUGAGCCAUGAGAGGAUUGCUAUCAGGGGGUUCAGAAGUUGUGGAAAAAUAAGCAGCAGGUGAUCUUGGUUCUAUACUGAACUUCCUACAAAAUGGUAGCCAAUGUUUUGAGAAGCGAGAGGCCUCCAACAAAGCAUAGAAGGUCAGGUCUGAGCCUCCAUCAUCAGAGAGAUAGACGCUUAGGUUCUGUGAUGGGUAAUUGUAAGCCAUGACUGAUAAAACAGUGUUGAUGACCAUGAUGGGUGGCUCUAUUCUUGGAUCUGCAGUGCACACAAAUAUGUCUAUGCCCGGCAAAACCUCCUCAUAUCUGCAAUGAAAUUUCAGAAUGAGCCAUUAGCAGGUAAAGAUAGGAGCAAGAAGAGGGAGAGAGAUUGAAAAAACCUCUGAGAGAGCCUGUCUUUGAAGGUGUAACGAUAGAUGGGGCUCCAUCUAACAAGCUGAGUGAGAAACCAGUAGAAACUGAACAACAACUCAGAUAGAAACAAUCCCAUCCAAGCCCAUCUUCUUAGCACUUGUGCGCCUGCAGGUGGGAAGUGAACCACCCUGUAAACCCAGAUAAAAAUAAUACCCACAAACAUUGAUGCUGCAUAGCAUCUGAAUAGGAUACGACCCUUUGCAACCUUGGUUUCAAAGAGAGGAAGAUAGCCAUCUCUGCCCAUUUCUACACUGCCUUUC
Molecule: long non-coding RNA, 17520 nt
Filed under: Vitis vinifera (wine grape)
Lineage: Eukaryota; Viridiplantae; Streptophyta; Magnoliopsida; Vitales; Vitaceae
Description: long non-coding RNA (VVIN_LNC007743)
Source: RNAcentral